GACAUGAGGGCAAAUAAUCAGGGCAGCUGCUUUACAAAAGACCAUGUGCCCCGUGUCAGUUGGGAGAAGCUGAGCCUAGGAGUGGAAAGCAGGCUGUUUUCCCUAACUCUGAAGCAUUUUGCAACAGGGUUGGUUUUUUAACUAUAUACUUAACUGAGUGGUGGCUUAUUGGUGUCUGAGUGAUUUCAGCAGAGGAGGAGGAAGAGUCUCCAUGGAUUCCAGCUGAACAUUUCUAAAAGCAAGUGAAGCCUACACACUGACACAAAACAGGUUUUGUUGCCAGAGGAGAUGCCAGACAGGGAGACAAGCUGACACCCAGAGGCCACGGCCGAAAGAAAUUGGCAUCUGGGUCUUGCAGCUGCCAAACCUUCUCUAUGAGUGGCCACAGCAAUCAGCUCCAGUGAUGUAGCAAACUGAGGAGGAGGAGGAGGAAAAGGGCAUGUGGUGCACAAUCAAUGCUGCAAUCAAAAGGAAGAUGCGGUGCCAGCUGGUUACUGCAGUUUUAUCACUCUGCCAGAAACACAAAAUAAUAUUUAAAGAAAACAACAACAACAAAAGCUUAGCAGCUUGCAUGGCCUAUAGCAGUGAAUGUGAAGAGUGAGAAGGUGGGCCAUGUGUGUGUGGCUGACACAGGAUUCCUGCAGCAAAGGGGACCCUGAGGCCCAUUUCUGUAGAGUGCCAGUGAUUUGUGGGAGUCAGUUCACUUUAGAAUUCUACAGCUACUUUUAAAAGUACAAGUUGUGCCAGGCAAAAGCCUGAUCUAUA
Molecule: long non-coding RNA, 765 nt
Organism: Mauremys reevesii (Reeves's turtle)
Lineage: Eukaryota; Metazoa; Chordata; Testudines; Geoemydidae
Exons: 3
Source: RefSeq, a predicted model, not a curated record